AUUGAACGCUGGCGGCAUGCUUUACACAUGCAAGUCGAACGGCAGCGCGGGCUUCGGCCUGGCGGCGAGUGGCGAACGGGUGAGUAAUAUAUCGGAACGUACCCAAGAGUGGGGGAUAACGUAGCGAAAGUUACGCUAAUACCGCAUACGAUCUAAGGAUGAAAGCAGGGGAUCGCAAGACCUUGUGCUCCUGGAGCGGCCGAUAUCUGAUUAGCUAGUUGGUGGGUAAAGGCCCACCAAGGCAACGAUCAGUAGCUGGUCUGAGAGGACGACCAGCCACACUGGAACUGAGACACGGUCCAGACUCCUACGGAGGCAGCAGUGGGGAAUUUUGGACAAUGGGCGCAAGCCUGAUCCAGCAAUGCCGCGUGAGUGAAGAAGGCC
RNAcentral lists this ribosomal RNA (384 nucleotides) under uncultured bacterium. RNAcentral's name for it is "bacterial SSU rRNA". It matches the Rfam family "Bacterial small subunit ribosomal RNA", at positions 30 to 416 of the family's 1533-position model. The record is from RNAcentral.